This 387-nucleotide ribosomal RNA is filed under the name Dipodomys deserti (desert kangaroo rat). RNAcentral describes it as "partial 12S ribosomal RNA". It matches the Rfam family "Bacterial small subunit ribosomal RNA", at positions 796 to 1382 of the family's 1533-position model. Lineage: Eukaryota; Metazoa; Chordata; Mammalia; Rodentia; Heteromyidae. The record is from RNAcentral.
GUAGCCAUAAACAUAAAUAAUUCAUAACAUAAUUAUUCGCCAGAGGACUACAAGCCACUGCUUAAAACUCAAAGGACUUGGCGGUGCUUUAUAUCCAUCUAGAGGAGCCUGUUCCAUAAUCGAUAAUCCCCGAUUCACCUCACCACUCUUUGCUAAUUCAGCCUAUAUACCGCCAUCUUCAGCUAACCCUAAAAAGGAACCAAAGUAAGCUAAAUAAGUACAACUAAAGAAGUUAGGUCAAGGUGUAGCCCAUAGAGUGGGGCGAAAUGGGCUACAUUUUCUAACCACUAGAACAUUUUACGAAACCCUAUGUGAAAUCGUAGGAUAAAGGAGGAUUUAGUAGUAAAUUAAAACUAGAGCGUUUAAUUGAAUAGAGCAAUGAAGCAC